GAGCUUGCUCCCUGAUGUUAGCGGCGGACGGGUGAGUAACACGUGGGUACCUGCCUGUAAGACUGGGAUAACUCCGGGAAACCGGGGCUAAUACCGGAUGCUUGUUUGAACCGCAUGGUUAAACAUAAAAGGUGGCUUCGGCUACCACUUACAGAUGGACCCGCGGCGCAUUAGCUAGUUGGUGAGGUAACGGCUCACAAGGCAACGAUGCGUAGCCGACCUGAGAGGGUGAUCGGCCACACUGGGACUGAGACACGGCCCAGACUCCACGGGAGGCAGCAGUAGGGAAUCUUCCGCAAUGACGAAAGUCUGACGGAGCAACGCCGCGUGAGUGAUGAAGGUUUUCGGAUCGUAAAGCUCUUUGUUAGGGAAGAACAAGUACCGUUCGAAUAGGGCGGUACCUUGACGGUACCUAACCAGAAAGCCACGGCUAACUACGUGCCAGCAGCCGCGGUAAUACGUAGGUGGCAAGCGUUGUCGGAAUUAUUGGGCGUAAAGGGCUCGCAGGCGGUUUCUUAAGUCUGAUGUGAAAGCCCCCGGCUCACCGGGGAGGGUCAUUGGAAACUGGGGAACUUGAGUGCAGAAGAGAGAGUGGAAUUCCACGUGUAGCGGUGAAAUGCGUAGAGAUGUGGAGGAACACCAGUGGCGAAGGCGACUCUCUGGUCUGUAACUGACGCUGAGGAGCGAAACGUGGGGAGCGAACAGGAUUAGAUACCCUGGUAGUCCACGCCGUAACGAUGAGUGCUAAGUGUUAGGGGGUUUCCGCCCCUUAGUGCUGCAGCUAACGCAUUAAGCACUCCGCCUGGGGGAGUACGUCGCAAGACUGAAACUCAAAGGAAUUGACGGGGGCCCGCACAGCGGUGGAGCUGUGGUUUAAUUUCGAGCAACGCGGAAGAA
RNAcentral lists this ribosomal RNA (897 nucleotides) under Bacillus subtilis. RNAcentral's name for it is "bacterial SSU rRNA". It matches the Rfam family "Bacterial small subunit ribosomal RNA", at positions 76 to 968 of the family's 1533-position model. The record is from RNAcentral. Lineage: Bacteria; Bacillati; Bacillota; Bacilli; Caryophanales; Bacillaceae.